AAAAUGCGAUGGGCAAGACAGAAAUGGAACACAAACUAAAUCUUCUUAUAAUGGAAUACGAGUCAGCAAUAAAGGGGAGUAGUCAUGACUGUGAAAAUACGGAGCUCAGGAAAAGAUGCCGGACACAAGAGACCAUAUGUUACUGACCUAUUUACGCGAAAUACCCAGAAAAGGCAAAGCUGCAGAGACAAGGCUUAUUUUGGACAGGCCUGCCCACCUCUGGUGGACUCACCGGGCCUCAUGAUUCCGACUCAUGAUCUUAUCCCCGCAUCGCACCCUUUGUCCCCAAACCCUCACAUAUUUGUUCUGUCCUGACUGGGCUGUGCAUCCCUGCGGGAGCAGAACAUCCCUGCGGGGGUGUCUGUCUUACUCACCACCGUGUCUGGGGGCCUACACAGGAAGCUGGCCUCUUAACACUUGUCUAAGGAGGGAAAGAAGCAAGUGAUUGUGUCGUCGCCCCCCCCCUCACCUUGGGGUUUCCAGCUGCUCCUUUUACACAUUCAUCACAAAUCCAACAACUCUCCUCCCCAUGGCUGGGUGCUUGGGACUAUGUUCCUCCCUCGGGAGAGCAUUAAACUUUGUUCUCUGUGUUGCUGGCUU
Long non-coding RNA from Mustela erminea (ermine), 600 nucleotides. RefSeq lists it as uncharacterized. The record is from RefSeq and is a predicted model, not a curated record. Lineage: Eukaryota; Metazoa; Chordata; Mammalia; Carnivora; Mustelidae. The transcript is spliced from 2 exons.